CAAUAGCGUAUAUUAAAGUUGUUGCAGUUAAAAAGCUCGUAGUUGAAUUUCUGAUAGAAGGGAGCGGUUCCGUAUUCUUACGGAUACUUGCUCGUCUUCCGUCAUCCUUGGGCUUAGUCUCGCUGAUAUUAACUUAUCGGCGUGUACGAUGCCCAUCGUUUACUGUGAGCAAAUUAGAGUGUUCAAAGCAGACUUAUGUCGUUGAAUAUAUUAGCAUGGAAUAAUAAGAUAGGACCUAGUGACUAUUUUGUUGGUUUGCGUUAUUAGGUAAUGAUUAAGAGGGACAGUUGUGGGUAUUCGUAUUCAGAUGUCAGAGGUGAAAUUCUUAGAUUAUCGGAAGACGAACGACUGCGAAAGCAUUUACCAAGGAUGUUUNCAUUAA
RNAcentral lists this ribosomal RNA (382 nucleotides) under uncultured eukaryote. RNAcentral's name for it is "partial 18S ribosomal RNA". It matches the Rfam family "Eukaryotic small subunit ribosomal RNA", at positions 592 to 976 of the family's 1831-position model. The record is from RNAcentral.